RNAcentral lists this ribosomal RNA (450 nucleotides) under uncultured bacterium. Its description in RNAcentral is "bacterial SSU rRNA". It matches the Rfam family "Bacterial small subunit ribosomal RNA", at positions 354 to 796 of the family's 1533-position model. The record is from RNAcentral.
GUGGGGAAUUUUGGACAAUGGGCGAAAGCCUGAUCCAGCCAUGCCGCGUGCAGGAUGAAGGCCUUCGGGUUGUAAACUGCUUUUGUACGGAACGAAAAGGCUCUGGUUAAUACCUGGGGCUCAUGACGGUACCGUAAGAAUAAGCACCGGCUAACUACGUGCCAGCAGCCGCGGUAAUACGUAGGGUGCAAGCGUUAAUCGGAAUUACUGGGCGUAAAGCGUGCGCAGGCGGUUUUGUAAGACAGACGUGAAAUCCCCGGGCUCAACCUGGGAAUGGCGUUUGUGACUGCAAAGCUGGAGUGCGGCAGAGGGGGAUGGAAUUCCGCGUGUAGCAGUGAAAUGCGUAGAUAUGCGGAGGAACACCGAUGGCGAAGGCAAUCCCCUGGGCCUGCACUGACGCUCAUGCACGAAAGCGUGGGGAGCAAACAGGAUUAGAUACCCUGGUAGUCC